CCUACGGGAGGCAGCAGUGGGGAAUAUUGGGCAAUGGAGGAAACUCUGACCCAGCAACGCCGCGUGAAGGAUGAAGGUUUUCGGAUUGUAAACUUCUGGCGCGAGGGAGGAAGAAUGAAGGGAGCACGUAAGAAAGCACCGGCAAACUACGUGCCAGCAGCAGCGGUAAUACGGAGGGGGCGAGCGUUGUCCGGAAUGACUGGGCGUAAAGGGAGGGUAGGCGGCAUAUGAAGUUAUGUGUGAAAGCCCGCGGCUCAACCUCGGAAUUGCACAUAAAACUGGUAAGCUGGAGUGCAGGAGCGGUAAGUGGAAUUCCCGGUGUAGCGGUGGAAUUCGUAGAUAUCGGGAGGAACACCAGCGGCGAUGGCGACUUACUGGACUGUAACUGACGCUGAGGCUCGCACGCGUGGGUAGCAAACAGGAUUAGAUACCCGGGUAGUC
Molecule: ribosomal RNA, 441 nt
Filed under: uncultured bacterium
Lineage: Bacteria
Description: partial 16S ribosomal RNA
Rfam family: Bacterial small subunit ribosomal RNA
Source: RNAcentral